GACGAACGCUGGCGGCGUGCUUAACACAUGCAAGUCGAACGGAAAGGCCCUGCUUUUGUGGGGUGCUCGAGUGGCGAACGGGUGAGUAACACGUGAGUAACCUGCCCUUGACUUUGGGAUAACUUCAGGAAACUGGGGCUAAUACCGGAUAGGAGCUCCUGCUGCAUGGUGGGGGUUGGAAAGUUUCGGCGGUUGGGGAUGGACUCGCGGCUUAUCAGCUUGUUGGUGGGGUAGUGGCUUACCAAGGCUUUGACGGGUAGCCGGCCUGAGAGGGUGACCGGCCACAAUGGGACUGAGAUACGGCCCAGACUCCUACGGGAGGCAGCAGUGGGGAGUAUUGCACAAUGGGCGGAAGCCUGAUGCAGCAGCGCCGCGUGCGGGAUGACGGCCUUCGGGUUGUAAACCGCUUUCGCCUGUGACGAAGCGUGAGUGACGGUAAUGGGUAAAGAAGCACCGGCUAACUACGUG
This 468-nucleotide ribosomal RNA is filed under the name uncultured bacterium. RNAcentral's name for it is "partial 16S ribosomal RNA". It matches the Rfam family "Bacterial small subunit ribosomal RNA", at positions 28 to 507 of the family's 1533-position model. The record is from RNAcentral.